This 352-nucleotide long non-coding RNA is filed under the name Medicago truncatula (barrel medic). Its description in RNAcentral is "long non-coding RNA (MTRU_LNC005244)". Lineage: Eukaryota; Viridiplantae; Streptophyta; Magnoliopsida; Fabales; Fabaceae. The record is from RNAcentral.
ACCUAGAGCCAAACACAAGAAGAACCCUAUCGCUACCAACCACAUAGGUCGUUAUUAGCCCCAACAAAGUUCCACUAUCCACUCAUGACGAGUACAAGGAAUACCAGAACACCUACCAAAAAACCACUUCAAGUAGGAGAAUAUGAUCCUCUCUACAACCAAUUGCUCCAUGUCCACAUCUUUCCCAUAGAAGAUCAGGUCAUUACGAGACUUCUAAAUGAACCACAGGACAAAAUAUCAGACCAAUGUUAACCCUGACCUAAUUCUAGGCCUAUCCCCAAAAGAUCCAUAAACAACGAAGAGACUAAACAAACGCAAGGGUAGAACUAUACCACACCCGAGAAUAUUAAUU